UAAUACCCUAUAGGUUACAGAUGCUGGAAUGCUCUGUAAUCAAAAGUUCCGGCGCCCUAGGAUGGAUCUGCGGCCGAUUAGGUUGUUGUUGGGGUAAUGGCCCAACAAGCCAGUAAUCGGUACGGGUUGUGGGAGCAAGAGCCCGGAGUUGGAUUCUGAGACACGAAUCCAGGCCCUACGGGGCGCAGCAGGCGCGAAAACUUUACAAUGCGGGCAACCGUGAUAAGGGAACCUCGAGUGCCUGUAAAUGCAGGCUGUUCAGAUGCCUAAAACACAUCUGGAGAAAGGGCCGGGCAAGACCGGUGCCAGCCGCCGCGGUAAUACCGGCGGCUCGAGUGGUGGCCACUUUUAUUGGGCUUAAAGCGUUCGUAGCUGGGUUGUUAAGUCUCUUGGGAAAUCUGGCGGCUUAACCGUCAGGCGUCUAAGGGAUGCCGGCAAUCUUGGAACCGGGAGAGGUGAGGGGUACUUCGGGGGUAGGAGUGAAAUCCUGUAAUCCUCGAGGGACCACCUGUGGCGAAGGCGCCUCACCAGAACGGCUUCGACAGUGAGGGACGAAAGCUGGGGGAGCAAACCGGAUUAGAUACCCGGGUAGUCCCAGCCGUAAACUAUGCGCGUUAGGUGUAU
RNAcentral lists this ribosomal RNA (624 nucleotides) under uncultured archaeon. Its description in RNAcentral is "bacterial SSU rRNA". It matches the Rfam family "Archaeal small subunit ribosomal RNA", at positions 147 to 776 of the family's 1478-position model. The record is from RNAcentral.